UUAAACACCAGUUCUCAUACAAUCACCAAGGUUAAGCAUCAUUAAGCCUGGUUAGUACCUAUAUUGGUGACCAUUUGGGAAUACCAGGUGCUGUAAG
Non-coding RNA from Acanthosepion pharaonis, 97 nucleotides. Lineage: Eukaryota; Metazoa; Mollusca; Cephalopoda; Sepiida; Sepiidae. The record is from the annotation of a GenBank genome assembly.